RNAcentral lists this ribosomal RNA (433 nucleotides) under uncultured bacterium. Its description in RNAcentral is "partial 16S ribosomal RNA". It matches the Rfam family "Bacterial small subunit ribosomal RNA", at positions 29 to 507 of the family's 1533-position model. The record is from RNAcentral.
AACGAACGCUGGCGGCAUGCCUAACACAUGCAAGUCGAACGAGACCUUCGGGUCUAGUGGCGCACGGGUGCGUAACGCGUGGGAACCUGCCCUUAGGUUCGGAAUAACUCCCCGAAAGGGGUGCUAAUACCGGAUAAUGUCUUCGGACCAAAGAUUUAUCGCCUUUGGAUGGGCCCGCGUUUGAUUAGCUAGUUGGUAGGGUAAAAGCCUACCAAGGCGACGAUCCAUAGCUGGUCUGAGAGGAUGAUCAGCCACACUGGGACUGAGACACGGACCAGACUGCUACGGGAGGCAGCAGUGGGGAAUAUUGGACAAUGGACGAAAGCCUGAUACAGCAAUGACGCGUGAGUGAUGAAGGCCUUAGGGUUGUAAAGCUCUUUUACCCGGGAUGAUAAUGACAGUAACGGGAGAAUAAGCUCCGGCUAACUCCGUG